RNAcentral lists this small nucleolar RNA (137 nucleotides) under Lottia gigantea (owl limpet). RNAcentral's name for it is "Small Cajal body specific RNA 3". It matches the Rfam family "Small Cajal body specific RNA 3". From Rfam's summary of the family: scaRNAs are a specific class of small nuclear RNAs which localise to the Cajal bodies and guide the modification of RNA polymerase II transcribed spliceosomal RNAs U1, U2, U4, U5 and U12. Lineage: Eukaryota; Metazoa; Mollusca; Gastropoda; Lottiidae. The record is from Rfam by way of RNAcentral.
AGUGGAAUUAUGACUCUGAAUAAUGAUAGAAUAUAAAAUGAUUUAUUUUGUCUCUCAUAUAAUUCCUAUAGAAAUAUUGAAGUUCUCUGAAAGAGAGAUGUGAGCUUUUUCUCUCUUUUCGUUCAACUUCUGACAUG